ACGGGGGAGAACCAACAGGGAUUGCCCCAGUAACGGCGAGUGAAGCGGCAACAGCUCAAAUUUGAAAUCUGGCCCCCGGGUCCGAGUUGUAAUUUGCAGAGGAUGCUUCGGGCGAGGUGCCUUCCGAGUUCCCUGGAACGGGACGCCACAGAGGGUGAGAGCCCCGUCUGGUCGGACACCGAGCCCGUGUGAAGCUCCUUCGAAGAGUCGAGUAGUUUGGGAAUGCUGCUCAAAAUGGGAGGUAUAUGUCUUCUAAAGCUAAAUAUUGGCCAGAGACCGAUAGCGCACAAGUAGAGUGAUCGAAAGAUGAAAAGCACUUUGAAAAGAGGGUUAAAAAGUACGUGAAAUUGUUGAAAGGGAAGCGCCCAUGACCAGACUUGGGCCCGGUGAAUCACCCGGCGUUCUCGCCGGUGCACUUUGCCGGGCACAGGCCAGCAUCAGUUUGGCGCGGGGGACAAAGGCUUCGGGAACGUGGCUCCCUCGGGAGUGUUAUAGCCCGCUGCGUAAUACCCUGCGCCGGACUGAGGUACGCGCAUCGCAAGGAUGCUGGCGUAAUGGUCAUCAGCGACCCGUCUUGAAACACGGACCAAGGAGUCGUCUUCGUAUGCGAGUGUUCGGGUGUCAAACCCCUACGCGGAAUGAAAGUGAACGCAGGUGAGAGCUUCGGCGCAUCAUCGACCGAUCCUGAUGUUCUCGGAUGGAUUUGAGUAAGAGCAUACGGGGCCGGACCCGAAAGAAGGUGAACUAUGCCUGUAUAGGGUGAAGCCAGAGGAAACUCUGGUGGAAGCUCGCAGCGGUUCUGACGUGCGAAUCGAUCGUCAAAUAUGGGCAUGGGGGCGAAAGACUAAUCGAACCUUCUAGUAGCUGGUUUCCGCGAGU
This 879-nucleotide ribosomal RNA is filed under the name Cordyceps tenuipes. Its description in RNAcentral is "partial large subunit ribosomal RNA". It matches the Rfam family "Eukaryotic large subunit ribosomal RNA", at positions 50 to 967 of the family's 3401-position model. Lineage: Eukaryota; Fungi; Ascomycota; Sordariomycetes; Hypocreales; Cordycipitaceae. The record is from RNAcentral.